Molecule: ribosomal RNA, 786 nt
Filed under: uncultured bacterium
Lineage: Bacteria
Description: bacterial SSU rRNA
Rfam family: Bacterial small subunit ribosomal RNA
Source: RNAcentral
ACGAACGCUGGCGGCAGGCCUAACACAUGCAAGUCGAGCGCUACCUUCGGGUGGAGCGGCGGACGGGUUAGUAACGCGUGGGAAUAUGCCCUUCUCUACGGAAUAGCCUCGGGAAACUGAGAGUAAUACCGUAUACGCCCUUCGGGGGAAAGAUUUAUCGGAGAAGGAUUAGCCCGCGUAAGAUUAGAUAGUUGGUGGGGUAAUGGCCUACCAAGUCUACGAUCUUUAGCUGGUUUUAGAGGAUGAUCAGCAACACUGGGACUGAGACACGGCCCAGACUCCUACGGGAGGCAGCAGUGGGGAAUCUUAGACAAUGGGCGAAAGCCUGAUCUAGCCAUGCCGCGUGAGUGAUGAAGGCCUUAGGGUCGUAAAGCUCUUUCGCCAGGGAUGAUAAUGACAGUACCUGGUAAAGAAGCCCCGGCUAACUCCGUGCCAGCAGCCGCGGUAAUACGGAGGGGGCUAGCGUUGUUCGGAAUUACUGGGCGUAAAGCGCACGUAGGCGGAUCAGAAAGUAAGGGGUGAAAUCCCGAGGCUCAACCUCGGAACUGCCUCUUAAACUCCUGGUCUUGAGUUCGAGAGAGGUGAGUGGAAUUCCAAGUGUAGAGGUGAAAUUCGUAGAUAUUUGGAGGAACACCAGUGGCGAAGGCGGCUCACUGGCUCGAUACUGACGCUGAGGUGCGAAAGUGUGGGGAGCAAACAGGAUUAGAUACCCUGGUAGUCCACACCGUAAACGAUGAAUGCCAGACGUCGGGUAGCAUGCUAUUCGGUGUCACACCUAACGGAUUA